AGGACUUUCCCCUUCGGGGGACAGAGUGACAGGUGGUGCAUGGUUGUCGUCAGCUCGUGUCGUGAGAUGUUGGGUUAAGUCCCGCAACGAGCGCAACCCUUGUCCUUAGUUGCCAGCAUUCAGUUGGGCACUCUAAGGAGACUGCCGGUGACAAACCGGAGGAAGGUGGGGAUGACGUCAAAUCAUCAUGCCCCUUAUGACCUGGGCUACACACGUGCUACAAUGGAUGGUACAAAGGGCUGCGAGACCGCGAGGUUUAGCCAAUCCCAUAAAACCAUUCUCAGUUCGGAUUGUAGGCUGCAACUCGCCUACAUGAAGCCGGAAUCGCUAGUAAUCGCGGAUCAGAAUGCCGCGGUGAAUACGUUCCCGGGUCUUGUACACACCGA
Molecule: ribosomal RNA, 386 nt
Filed under: Clostridium sp. enrichment culture
Lineage: Bacteria; Bacillati; Bacillota; Clostridia; Eubacteriales; Clostridiaceae
Description: bacterial SSU rRNA
Rfam family: Bacterial small subunit ribosomal RNA
Source: RNAcentral